RNAcentral lists this transfer RNA (72 nucleotides) under Megaladapis edwardsi. RNAcentral describes it as "tRNA-Ser". It matches the Rfam family "tRNA". From Rfam's summary of the family: Transfer RNA (tRNA) molecules are approximately 80 nucleotides in length. Their secondary structure includes four short double-helical elements and three loops (D, anti-codon, and T loops). The record is from RNAcentral. Lineage: Eukaryota; Metazoa; Chordata; Mammalia; Primates; Lepilemuridae.
UGAAGAAAGUUGUAAUGGUUACGUGGUUGGCUUGAAACCAAUCUUAGGGGGUUCGAUUCCUUCCUUUCUUGU